Microcebus murinus (gray mouse lemur) is the source of this 1876-nucleotide non-coding RNA. Lineage: Eukaryota; Metazoa; Chordata; Mammalia; Primates; Cheirogaleidae. The record is from RefSeq and is a predicted model, not a curated record.
GAGGAGGGCCAGAGACCCAACUGACUCUUGAGACCAUGACGGUUGCCCUCCUGUAAAAGGGAUUCUCGUGUGCCAAGUGUGGGUAAAUUGUUAUCGCCUACUUGUGAAAACCCAGACCUCCUUCACUACAUAUGGAAACAGCUUCCUUUAUUAUUUUGGAGACAUUUGUCCUUUGCAAGUAUAGAUUCUGUCUUCUGUCUUAGUAUCUCAAAUAUCAGUACAAUUUCUGGCUCAUUUUUAUACUCAGUAAAUUGUCAUUGAGAAUGCAUGAAAAAAUGGCAAGCCUUUGUUUGUUUUUGAAGCUCACCAGAAAAUGUCAGGCUGAGUGUUCCACACUGGGAUAAAGGACGAAGGCUCAGCCUUUGUCCUGAAGGACCUAGCCAUUAGUAAUGGAAAAGAGAUAUCAGUAAGUAACCCACUGUAAGUACUUGCUUAAACCCCAUUAAAUACUUGCUUAAAAUAAAAGCAAAGUGUAAAGGGAAAACAGCAGAGAAAAGAGCCCUCAGAGAGCAGGCAGUCUUGCUAGGGAGCUAAGGCAAGUCAGAAGAAGGGGGAUGAUGCACAGAUAGGGUAUAAUACACUGUCAAGACUGUGUAGCGCUUAUAGCUUCUAUGUAUGCAUAAUCAGUUCAAUAGAGUUUAGAAUACUUUAAGAAUGAAUGAAACCUUAAACUUUAUAAAUAAUAUGUAUGUGUUGCCACUCUCCACACAAUGUGCUAUGUUUGAUGCUUGCCUUGAACUAAUACUUUCACUACAAAUCAUUUAGAUAAUAUUUAGGUAGUUAAUUCAAUAAUAUUUUGCUUUAAAAUAUCCAGGCAAGAAAAACAGACUUUCUUAAGAGAUAUUGAAGAUUUAUGAGGAACUGGAAAUAAAUAUCGACACAUUAAGGAUGAUCUUUGCUUUGAUUCACUACAAAUCUUUCAGCUCCAGUUUUUUGAAUGAACUAUUUAAUAGACAUAGUCUAAGCCAUGAAGAAAAAUAAAAGUUUAUGCACUAAUUCUUCAGAGAAAAAAAAGACAGCAAUGGUACAGGAUAACAGAGUAUUUAAUUUCAAAAUAUGUGAACACAGACUCUGAACCUAUAGCAACAAAAACAAGUCCCAGUGAGUAACAUCAUAACCCAAGUAAAAAGACAAUUGCAAUGUUGGUUAAUAUGACAAGAUGAAAUGGCCCUUUAAUGAAUUCUACAUUGUACCUGUCACAAACAGUUGGAAUGACAAGAUAUCAAGGCUCUGUCUUCUGUCCUCCAAACCAAAGUUUCCAGAACAAGAGACUUUAUGUGAUUUGAUUAGAGAUUAUUCAGGCACCUCAGGGAAACUAAAAUAUAUUGCUUUUUUUUCUAUAUAGACAUACAGCAGGAGGAUCUCCUGGAAUUCAUAUGUGACUCCAAGAAAAGAGGAAAGACUGGAUGCUUUCCUGAAUGGUCUGUCAAUGGCUGACCUCAGAUCCCUGCUCAGUCUUUCUUUGAUAUUUUCAGAUAAAAUAACUAACUAUAACCAUCCACAAGGUGACACCCUUGGCCCUGAAUCUAGUCCCACCUGCCACCUCAAACAACCCAAAAGAAACUCUGUGGUUCAUGGUCUGCCGUGAUCACUCAUAACCAGGCAACACAGAGCAGAUCAUUUGUCUCACCAAUUAGAGCACAAGUUCCAUGAGUUUGGGGAUUGUCCUUGCCUGGGUUGCCACUGUAUAGUACCUGGUAUGGUAUCAUACCUGUACCUGUAACCUGGUAUGGUACAUACUAAGCUCAAUAACUGUUUGUUGUUGUUGUUUUUAUGUUAAUGUACAACAGAUCUUUGUUUAACAAAUGUGUAAACCAAUUAUAUUGUAUCUAAAAAUGAAAACAUGUGCUUGGAACGCUAGUGAUUUCUAUUUGUU